GCGGGGAUGGUGGAAUCAGGUAGACACGUACGUUUGAGGGGCGUAUGGGUAACCCCCGUGCGGGUUCAAAUCCCGCUCCCCGCA
Latescibacteria bacterium DG_63 is the source of this 84-nucleotide non-coding RNA. The record is from Rfam. Lineage: Bacteria; Pseudomonadati; Candidatus Latescibacterota.